GACGGGGAGGAGGAGGAGGACAUCACCAGUGCCGAGUCAGAGAGCAGUGAGGAGGAGGAAGGCGGCCCCGGGGACGGCCAGAACACCACCCGGCAGCAGCAGCUAGAAUGGGACUACUCCACACUCAGCUACUAAACACGCGCUCGCCCAGCACCUGCUCUCCAGACUCUCCCAGCCAUCUUCCAGCCCCACGGGUCCACGAUGUACAAAUCAUUUUGACCAGCAGCUGGGAACUGAUGGCAAAGAUGGACAACAGUUCUGAGCAGUCUGCACUACAGCACCCAAGAGGAGAACCUGAGGCCCGA
RNAcentral lists this long non-coding RNA (305 nucleotides) under Rattus norvegicus (Norway rat). RNAcentral's name for it is "long non-coding RNA NONRATT022867". Lineage: Eukaryota; Metazoa; Chordata; Mammalia; Rodentia; Muridae. The record is from RNAcentral.